AAUGAACGUUGGCGGCGUGGAUUAGGCAUGCAAGUCGUGCGGAAGUGGCCCGCAAGGGUUACUUUAGCGGCGAAAGGGAGAGUAAUACGUAGGUACCUACACCUGGAACCGGGAUAGCUGCGGGAAACUGCAGGUAAUACCGGAUAACGUCUACGGACCAAAGGUGUGAUUACGUUCGGGGAGGGGCCUGCGUCCUAUUAGCUAGUUGGUGAGGUGAUGGCUCACCAAGGCAAAGAUGGGUACGGGGUAUGAGAGUAUGCCCCCGCGCACUGGGACUGAGACACUGCCCAGACACCUACGGGUGGCUGCAGUCGAGGAUCUUCGGCAAUGGGGGAAACCCUGACCGAGCGACGCCGCGUGUGGGAUGAAGGCCCUCGGGUUGUAAACCACUGUCAGAGGGGAUGAAAUGCUAUGGGGUUCUCUCCAUAGUUUGACAUAUCCUCAGAGGAAGGACGGGCUAAGUUCGUGCCAGCCGCCGCCGUAA
RNAcentral lists this ribosomal RNA (484 nucleotides) under uncultured bacterium. Its description in RNAcentral is "partial 16S ribosomal RNA". It matches the Rfam family "Bacterial small subunit ribosomal RNA", at positions 29 to 523 of the family's 1533-position model. The record is from RNAcentral.